GAUGAACGCUGGCGGCGUGCCUAAUACAUGCAAGUCGAGCGAACGGACGAGAAGCUUGCUUCUCUGAUUUUAGCGGCGGACGGGUGAGUAACACGUGGAUAACCUACCUCUCAGACUGGGAUAACUUCGGGAAACCGUAGCUAAUACCGGAUAAUAUUUUGAACCGCAUGGUUCCAAAGUGAAAGACGGUCUUACUUUCACUUAUAGAUGGAACCGCGCUGCAUUAGCUAGUUGGUAAGGUAACGGCUUACCAAGUCAACGAGGCAUACCCGACCUGAGAGGAUGAUCGGCCACACGGGAACGAAGACACGGUCCAGAAUCGGAAGGGAGGCAGGAGCAAGAAAUCUUCCGGAAGGAGCGGAAGCGUGACGUAGCAACGCGGCGUGAGUGAUGAAGAGCUUCGGAUCGUAAAUCUCUGUGAUUAGGGGAGAACAUAGGUGAAGUAACUGUGCACAUCUUGACGGUACCUAAACAGAAAGCCACGGCUAACUACGUG
RNAcentral lists this ribosomal RNA (496 nucleotides) under uncultured bacterium. RNAcentral describes it as "partial 16S ribosomal RNA". It matches the Rfam family "Bacterial small subunit ribosomal RNA", at positions 28 to 507 of the family's 1533-position model. The record is from RNAcentral.